RNAcentral lists this transfer RNA (71 nucleotides) under Marmota marmota marmota (Alpine marmot). It matches the Rfam family "tRNA". From Rfam's summary of the family: Transfer RNA (tRNA) molecules are approximately 80 nucleotides in length. Their secondary structure includes four short double-helical elements and three loops (D, anti-codon, and T loops). RNAcentral also lists the same sequence under 1 other name. The record is from Rfam by way of RNAcentral. Lineage: Eukaryota; Metazoa; Chordata; Mammalia; Rodentia; Sciuridae.
UGGGGUGUAGCUUAAUGGUAAGAGUGCUUGCCCAGCAGGUAAGACCAUGGGUUUGAUCCCCAGCACCACAA